GCCUAAAAUCAAGCCUUUAACUCUUAUUAUUCAACCCCAUUUCUAUUCCUUCCCCUAAAUAAAACAUUUUAUUACUUUAGUAGAGGUGAUCGAAAAAUUAAUUAGCGCUUCACACACAGUACCGCAAGGGAACGAUGAAAUAGCUUUGAAAUAGACUAAAAGCCAAAAACAGCAGAGAUUACCCCUCGUACCUUUUGCAUCAUGGUUUAGCCAGUCCUAACCAAGCAAGGCGAACCCAAGUUUGGUCCCCCGAAACUAGGCGAGCUACUUCGAAACAGCUUUUAGAGCCAACCCAUCUCUGUUGCAAAAGAGUGGGAUGAUUUCCAAGUAGAGGUGAAAAGCCUAUCGAGCCUAGAGAUAGCUGGUUAUUCAAGAAAUGAAUUUUAGUUCACCCUUAAGCCCCCCCCCGGUAACCUAAACACGACUCCCCCGCUUAAGAGCUAUUCAAUUAAGGCACAGCUUAUUUGAAAAAGAAUCCAAUCUAUAAUUCAGGGUAAGCCACGACUGCCUUGUUAAGUGGGCUUGAAAGCAGCCACCUUUCAAAAAGCGUUUAAGCUUAGCAUAUUCUAUUAAUAAAAUUCCACAACACCCCACGAACCCGACACCACAAUUGAAUAACUCUAUAGAUUAUAGAAGAUAUGAUGCUAAAACUAGUAACAAGAAAAAGACCUUUCUCCAAAAUAUAAGUGUAUGUCAAAACGAACUCAUCAUUGACACCUAACGCCCUUGAGCCCAAGAUAAUAACCCACCAAGAAAACCUUAUUACACAAUGACGUUAACCUAACACAAGAAUAUUUCUGGAAAGAUUAAAAGAGGGAGAAGGAACUCGGCAAAUCUAAGCCCCGCCUGUUUACCAAAAACAUCGCCUCUUGAAUAGAUAUAAGAGGUCCAGCCUGCCCAGUGAUACAAUUUAACGGCCGCGGUAUACUGACCGUGCGAAGGUAGCAUAAUCACUUGUUCUUUAAAUGGGGACUAGUAUGAACGGCACCACGAGGGCUUUACUGUCUCCUCCCUUCAAUCAGUGAAACUGACCUCCCUGUGAAGAGGCAGGGAUACCACUAUAAGACGAGAAGACCCCAUGGAGCUUUAAACCCAACAACAGCCCAAACACCACCACCCCAAAAAGUUUUAAGGGUAUUGCUAGUUGGUUUUAGGUUGGGGUGACCGCGGAGUAUAAACUAUCCUCCACGACGAACGGGCCUACCCCCUUACCCAAGAGCUACGCCUCUAAGGAUUAACACAUUAACGUAAAAUGAUCCAAAUAUUUGAUCAACGAACCAAGUUACCCUGGGGAUAACAGCGCAAUCCAUUUUUAGAGCCCCUAUCGACAAAUGGGUUUACGACCUCGAUGUUGGAUCAGGGUAUCCAGGAGGUGCAGCCGCUUCCAAUGGUUGUU
Molecule: ribosomal RNA, 1396 nt
Filed under: Euphlyctis adolfi
Lineage: Eukaryota; Metazoa; Chordata; Amphibia; Anura; Dicroglossidae
Description: partial 16S large subunit ribosomal RNA
Rfam family: Bacterial large subunit ribosomal RNA
Source: RNAcentral